This 9474-nucleotide long non-coding RNA is filed under the name Phoenix dactylifera (date palm). Its description in RNAcentral is "long non-coding RNA (PDAC_LNC007899)". Lineage: Eukaryota; Viridiplantae; Streptophyta; Magnoliopsida; Arecales; Arecaceae. The record is from RNAcentral.
UUGAAUCCAUCCUGUGCCAGCAGUUUACACCAGAAUGACCUCGUUUAUUACAAAUUUGGCAUUCCAAUAAAUUUCUCUGGUCUCUGCCUCGAUCUGGAAAGGACCAUCCUGAUGUUCUUGACCUGCCUCGUCCUCGGUUGGUGAAGUAGAAACGUCCACGACCUCUGCCGCGAACUGAAAGUAGUGCAAAUGCAGAGUCGACAGAGGACUGUUGUUUUUCCUUGUUAGACAAGAUAAUCUCUUCACUGCAUAAAAGUGCAUAGAGUUCAUCCAAAGUAAUAGCUGAUGACCGAGUUCUAAUUGCAGUAGAGAAGGAAUCAUAAGCUGCUGGGAGGCCAUUCAAAACAUACAGCGCCACAUCCUCCAUAUCUAACUUGGAUCCAACAGCUGCAAGGGCAUCUAUCUUAUUCCUGAUCUCAUUUAAAUACUGCUGCAUUGGUAGAUCUUGCUUCUGUAUAUUGUGAAGCUCAUUCUUUAGUUGAAUUACAUGAGAUCUAGUUGAGGAAUUCAAUCUACAUUCCAAUGUAGCCCAAAGUUGAUGGCAAUGCUCAAGAUUAAUUACAUAGGGUAGGAUAGAAGAAGAAAUUAUUGAAUUCAAAGCCACUGCUAAGAACUGAUCAUUCAAAAACCAAGCAUCAAAUUCAGAACUAGUUGGUGAUUGUAGACAAGUUGAUGAUCCGUCUAGAAAUCCAAAAAAUUCACUUGCUUUGAACACUCGAGUGAUUUGGGAUUUCCAGACAAGAUAAUUUUCAGAGGUAAGUUGACUGGGUACAAGUGAUUGAAUCCUUGAAGUCAAGAAUUUAAGUUUGGGAGAUAUAACCUGAUCUUUAGAAGACCUUACAGCUUCAUCUGAUCUGGUAUGAUUCACUGAUGUAGGUGAUGCCAUAGAAUCACUCUUAAGAUCUUCUAAUCUUACUAACAGAUCUUAAUGAGCUAGUGGAUCAUGGUGAGAUGAUCUGGAUCCCUGCUCUGAUACCAUGAAGAAGUCUGGGAGAAGAUAUGUUGAAGCUACAGUGGCUGGCACAUUCCUUAAAAACUAGCACGGCACUGAAACUGCUCUGCUACAGUAAACUGUUGAGAAAGCAGAGAACAGGAAAGAAGAGUUUGAAUGUGAUUUUUAUUGCUUGCAAAGAGCUUACAGUAGAUGUGUAUUUAUAGCUGAUGAUCCAGGAUACAAGUAAACCAGCUGCUGAUUAGCUGGAGUUGGUUACAACAGUUGUAAACUAACUGAAUUCAGUUGGGAUUAACUGAAUUCAGAUUUUGCUAGAAGUUUACAGAGUGUGCUAGAGAAUUCUGGAAUGGACUAGUAGCUUAACAGUAAACACUGACCAGUUUAAUGCAUAGUUUUUUUUUUUCAUGAUCUUAUGAACAAUGUCAUGUGUGUGUUACAUCAGUCGUAGAGCUAAAAAAUAUUUCAUGAAUAUUUUAGAGAUUAUCCAAGUGGCUAAAGUGGACAACAAUUUUGUAGGUCCUCUUUCACUAAAGUAAGAUUUUGUACAGACACCUAAGUGUGUCAUCAUAUAGAAUAGUUAAUAUUAGCAAUCCAUCUCACAAAGCACUGUCUGGAUAGAUGUGUGAACCAGAUGCACGAGCAUGCAAAUGACCGUUGACAAGAAGGAUAGGAAAUUUUACUGUAUUUUGGAAGUUAGUAAAUUUGCAGCCAAAUCCAUAUACCUACGAUAAUACUUUGGACUAUAUCCUUAAUAUGGAGCAUAAUGCUUUAUUCAUUUGCUUACUUCAAACCUUUGUUGUGAAUUUGGAUUAAAAUAAGGCCAGAUAUUAAGAAAAGGAAUCAUUGCAUGUUUUUUUUCUAUUAUUUAGCUAACUAAAAAAUGGUUUACUCUGGAAGAUUUGGAGAGCUUUUGUAAGAAAAUUUAUUUAUUCUUGAUAUAGGUUUGGAACUCAUUAUCACUAAAUUUUAGCAUGUAUAGAAAUAGCUAUAAUUAAUGAAUUAGGAUGCAUUGAUCCUAGGUUAACUAAGUUCUAAAUUAAGCAGCCUCAUUUUAUCCUUAAGCACUAACAAACGCAGUUCAUAAUAAUAAAUGCCUUAAAAAUUAGGAUUUGGAACUAGCAAGUGCAGGCUUGUAAGAUGUCACAACUACAGUCUCAUACACAAGAGUCGCUCUCCUAUGCAGUCCCAAAGCCCCUCCAAUGUCAAGCUCCAUCACAACCUGUGGUACGGUUAGUCCCAGUCAUUCUCCCAAUCACAGAAUUAACUUCAUGAGCAUGUUAUCCAACAAGCAGCCGAAAGAUCUAUCGCAAUAUCACAUGAAGAUAUGUUGACAUGGCAUAAUAUUGGUCUCAAGAAUCGUUUAAUCCAAAGCAUUGGAAAAAUACAGUCGAGAAACAAUGAUGCCGCAAUAUUUUUUUUCUCUUUAUAUAAUUAAAUAGGAUAUUAUUCACUGCGCAACAAUCAUCUCUACAAUCUACUCAACACUACAAAAAAAAUUAGACAUUAUUGACGCUUUUUAUUGCAUAUAUUGAUGUCUAUAAGCGUCGUUAGUUUUAUUCCCGACGCUUUAUAAAGUAUCGCAAAAGCACCGGCAAUGUGAGCAUUGAAAUUCAAUUAAUUACCGAUACUUAUAAGUGUCGGUAUUUAGCGAUGCAAAUAAGUAUUGUCAAUUAGUGACGCGUAUAAGCAUCGGCAAUUAGCGACGCAGAUAAGCGUCGCUCAUUGCUGACGCUUUUAUGUGUCGGCUAAUAGCGAUGCUUAAUAGCGUCGGUCAUUAGCGACGCUAAAAAGUGCCGCUAAUAUUUAUUAUAACGAUACUUUCAAGCGUCGUAAGAGUUUUUUUUAAAAAAGAUUAUUUAAAUUUUUUUUAAAACUAUGUAUAUAUAUAUAUAUACACUAAAUACAUACAUAACAAAAGUCAUAUUAUUAUAUAUAUCACAAUCAAACAGAUUAUUCGAAAUAUUCAUAUUGUCAAAUAUAAUUACAUUUACGUUAUAAAUUUACAUUUACAAUAUAUUUUAAAAAAUAAGAUAUAUAUAACUCCUAAAUAAAUAGUCUAAGAAUUAUUAGGGGAUUAAAGAAAGUAUCAGGAACCUUAAAAAAAAGAUAGAAACUUUAAAAGUAAAGAAUACGAAAAUUAUUAUGCUAAUACAAAAAUAUAUAAUAAUUAUGUAAAAUAUUUAAAAUUAUUUUUUGUUGAGAUCUACAAAAGGUUUGCAAAGAUAGCCUAUUUGCCAAAAGCUAUUACGGUAUUUGGGGUCCCUGAAAGUGUUUCUGGCUCGAUCAACUCAGGGGUUAUUAUGCUCUGGCGGUUAGACUCUGAAAGCUAUAGAUGAAAUACUUUAAAUUAUUUGUUAUACCUAUUGAUUUACAAUAUGUUAUAACGGAAAAAUCUUACUUUCUCACAGAUUAUAGGAGUUAUAUAUAUAUAUAUAUUGAAGCAUAUUAACAAUGUAAAUGUAAUUAUAUUUGAUAAUAUAAAUAUUUCAAAUAAUCUGCUUGAUUGUGACAUGUAUUAUUAUACGACUUUUUUAUAUAUGUAUUUGGUGUAUAUAUGUAUACAAAGUUUUAUUUUUUUAAAAUAUUUUUUUAAAAAUAACUCUUACGGUGCUUUAAAAUGUUGUUAUAAUAUAUAUCAGCGAUUAGCAACGCUUAUAAGCAUCAGCGAUUAGCAAUGUUUAUAUGCAUCACCAAUUAAUGAUGCUUUCAAAAAGCGUCGGUAAGUUGAUUUUCGACGUUUACAUUAUCGAUGCUUUUACGACCUUUUAGAAAGCACUGAAAAUAAAACUACCGAUAAGCGUCGGUAUAUAUACUAAAAAGCGCCGGUAAUACUUAUUUUUUUUAUAGUACAUUAUUUUUGUAAUAGUAAAGACCACUUGAUGAAAUUUCUACAGCAGUAAGAAAAUGCUACUAAAUUCCGAUAAAUACUGCUAGUAAAAGUUUACUUCUCCAUUAGCAGCGCAAUGUGCUAAAGUUAAAAUAGCGACAGGACAUUCGACAACGACCAAGCAGCGGAAGGGAAAAUCGCUUGGAAAAGUAUCCACAGCAAUUUUUCAUACUUUUACCGGCUUCGACCGUUGCUAAAUCUUCUUUUUCUUAUAGUAAAAAAUAAAAAAUAUAAAUAAAACUAAUUUUUUUAGUGAUGGAAUAAAUUUCAUCACUAAAAGUAACUUAACAUAAGGCAACAAAUAUCAACCUUCAUGCAAAAAGAAAAUUGCUUAGCGAUAAAUUCAUCAAUGAAAGCUUUCAUCACAAAGGUUGUAGAUUUUGUGACAAAAUUCAUUUUGCCAUCAGAGUUAGCUGUUGCUGAUAAAAAAAUUUUGUAGCCAGUAGUUCACAAUUUGCAGCAAAAGUAUUUCAUCCCCAAUACCUGACUAUGCAUGAUAAAAAUACUUUGUCUCCAACAGUCAUUCUUCUAUGGCGAAGAAAAUUUCAUUAUCAAAUCGUUUAAUAAUGAAAGUUUUUUCAUCAUAGAAAAUAUCAUCUUCAUAGCAAAAAUUACUGCACAUGACCUUUAGAAAUAAGAUGAAAUUACUUGUUUUCAUGAUGAGAUUUACAUACCUUUAAUAACGAAAUAUUUUGUCAUAAAUCAUGGAUAAAUUGGUGAUGAGAGACGUUUCAUCACGAAAUGCUGGGUAUUUGGUAAUGAAUUACUGCUUCCAUCGUAGAAAAAGUCUAGCGACCGGGCGCUAGCCAUGAACCUAGUAAUAAAUUUUGUUUUUUACUGAUGAAAUUUUUUAUAGGUAAACUUAUAAAUUCUUAUAGUGAUAAUAUUAAGUCAAAUAAUUACAUAUAAAAAUUAUAAAAAUAAUAGUUGCUAAUUGUAUUAUAUAUAAAUUGUUAAUUUUAUAUUUUUCGAGCUUAAUUGAACAUAUAAAAAUUAUACUAAUAUGCAAACUUGAGCCAAUCGGAAGUAGCCCAUACACAGCUUGUUUGUUUGGUAAUCUUGAUAAAAUAGGCUUGGGUAUCUUGAAUUUCAACAUGCACUUUAUAGUGAUGGUAGUAUACGCACUACCGGCCAGGCCAUCAUUGAGGUGGAGCUGCAGGCUGCCUGAAAGAGCAUGUCCUAUGCAAGAAGAGUCCUUGAAGCCGACAUGAUAUUUCUAGAGGGGACUCCAUCACGGUGGUUGACUGGAUACAGGGAAUGGAUCCGGAUGGAGACGAGCACCCAUUGUUUUGCGAGAUCCGCGAUUUGGCCAGGGAGAUAGGCUUUUUUCAAAUAGCGCAUGUUUAUAAGGAGGCGAACAAUAUGGCAGACUGGGUCGUCUUCUUUGUGGCUCGGCAUUCGGGCGGAUUAAUCUGGACCAGGGUCGGAGAUACACCCCACUCUCUAUAUCAUCUUUUUUUUUUUGAUUUGGCGGACUGUAUUCAUGUGAGAUAUAUAUGAAUGACCGUUAAAAAAAAAAAAAAAGAAAGAAAAGAAAAAGAAAGAAAGGAAGGAAGGAGGAGAAGGUAGUGUACGUGUCUACAUUGUUCUUCCAAAUUGGCUAGUACGAGUUGUUUUGUGUGCGUUGUAUCAAGAGAAUGUGAUUUACAACUGGAGAAAUUAUUGGUCGCACCAACUUGACCGUAUAUGCAGCUAAUAAUGAUAGUUGAUUUUUAGAAUGAUACAAGGAGAUAGGACAAGCUGCCGUGGUUGGCUGCAUGCACCCACGUUGCGCACGCAGGAUAGGCGAUAGUUCCUCUUACAAGAGACCGUGUCAAUUUAGGCCAUCUAAUGAACCGUUCGUGUAUGAUAGCCCACAGAGUCGACUUUGGAGCGGUUUUAUCGGCACACAGAAAGAAGAAAAGUUGCAGCCUCCUCCCUCGACGAAGCCUUUCUAACGUAUCUUUUGUAACUCCUGGAAAGAAAAUAAAGAGAAAUACCACCAUGGAGAGUGUAGACAUUGAUAACGCCAACGUCAAGUUGAAGCGGCUUUGCAUGCCUUGGGACUAAGAAAAGGUAUGUCGAAGUAACAAAACGAUAUGCAUCCAAUUCCGGCCAAUUUUUUUUGACGGAAUGGUCAUGCAAACACGUCUUUUCUAUAGCAAAAAGCCCGUAGGUACCUUGUGGUACUUUUUUAAUAUAUCAUUUUGGAUCCAUGCAGCCUUCUCUCAGGUUUAACCUGCCUAAGGUAAUUUAUCAACCUUAAGUAAUAAAACACCAACUUGGUGCAUCAGGACAAUGGCAUGUGAUGAAUAAAGGUCAUUCAAGUUGAUUUAUUGACCAUCUCUUUUUGUCUGAUUAAAAUUUGGAGCAACAAAGUCACAUAAAAAUAGCGAGCAUGUGCUACUCAAGUAUUUUCUGAGACAAUGGUCUUGCAGAUGCCACCUUUUUCUGCAGUCAGAUGAGUACUCCUUGCAUACUGCCAAUCUAAUUUGUGUCAUGCUGCAAAAAUCUGUCCUGAUUCACGAGUUGAUGAAUCUGGUGUUUAACACUAAUUCAGACAAAAUGCCAUCAAUUACUUUUUUUUUUUCUCAAAAAAAUGGUGAACGAUCACUUCAUCUACCUCCACUUUAGCCUGGGUGUUUGACCGGACCGGUUAAAUGAUCAAAGGUUCAUCAGCCAAAGCAGUAGCAGCAAACUAGCAAUUUCUAAUCCAAAUCCGUCUACCUAUAUGAGUCAAGAGAUGGUUCUUGAUGACUUAAUUGGGUCAGAUUAGGGUCAAUCAAUUUAAGUAUAAACGGAUUGGGUUUCCCACAUCCCUGUAUCAUGUAAGCAUUUGGGAACCAUAAGUUUGCGAAGGUUUAAUUCCAUUGAUUAAAAAGCUUUGGUGUCAAGGAUUAAAAUAAAAAAAUGUCAACGAUAAAAUGAUGCAGGAUUUAUCAUAUUUUCUUCUUCAUUAUAAUUUGUUCUGCUCUCUCUAUAUUUUAAUAUCCAAUUCAACAUUCUUCCCUUGAUUUUUUUUUUUUAUUAUAUAUAUUCAAACGAUAGGAGAUUAUGUGAUUUUUUUUAUUUGUUUGUGAUCCCGUAUAGUUUUGUACUUGGAAUUUUCAAAAUCUCACUCCCCAAGAGCCACCAUGAGGUGACGUCUUUGUUUUUGUCUUUUGUUCUUUUUUCUACUUUUCUAUUUUUUCCGGACCACGUCCAACUUAGAGCAAAACAACACUGUGAUUGGUGGAAUUUUUUUUAAUUAUUAUUUGGCGUGAAAAAAAAGUUUGAUGAAACCCGAUCCUUCACAACUUGUUGGAAGCCAUUCCAAUACCGUCAGUUAACAACUUAUUAGCUCAGCUACUCUUUUCCAAGGACGACUCUCUUUGAGAUUCGUGUACGAUAUCCGUGAGCCCUGAUGUAGUUGCGGACGGCAAUCGUGAUGCAGCGCAAACACUUUGGUUUCAUGGUUCGGUGCGUCAAACUCGUAGAUUCGUUGGUUUUGGUUCCCGUUAAGCUGAGAACGAACACGUAUCACGGUCAGUCUCUGUCUUCUUCCACCAGGACUCCUUCAAACCAGCGCUUAGAAAAAAGAAAAGAAAAAAGAAAGACUUCAAAAUCUAUUAGACUUCUCCUCGCCACAUACAAUUUUACCAAUUAUCUCCAUCUCUCACCAUCAAAAUAGUCCAAUUAAUACUUGGUCAUCUCGCACACGAUUUUCAUAAUUUUUUUUUCGUUUGUUUUCUUCUUAUCCUUCGAUGAAUUGGGUUGUGGCAUUCGAUAAAAGAAAGAAGAAAAAAAAGAAAAGGAAAUGGGAUAAGAAUUUUUGGAUGUGAAUGAAAUUAUGACGUUUGUGGAUUAGGAAGAAGUGCUGGAGAUGCCGUUCUUCAUUUCCACCUCGAAAAGCUGAUCCAAAACCAGCCCCUAUUUUCCUCCACUCUUGUCUUAAAUUAAUAGAUGAUUUCCUGCACGUCACUACCCCUCCUUUGUCAUCACGUACAGACCCAGUGUACCUCCCCCAGCCCAGCUCUUUGUACAACGAACAAAUCACCAUCUCUUAUCGCCAGCCUAUAUAUGACUUUGAUCCACACCACAUCCAUCCAUUCCGGUUUCACUCCAUUCGCUCUCUUCUUAGGAACUGAGGUUCUUAUCUCUUCCUUUGCUGUUCUUCUUUCCUCGCUUGAUUGCGUUCUCUACUUUCAUGUUUUUAUUAGCUUAACUUGAUCAAUGAUUAGCUAGUUGGGAUUUUGUUUUUGAUCUUGUUUUUGUCAAAAGGUGAUGAUUUUUUUCCUUCUUUUGAUUGUUUUUAAAUCUAUUUUAGAUGUAUGUAUGCACAUACAUGAGAUAUUUGUAUAUAUGCUUAGUUUCCUUUUUCAUUCUGAAAAAUCUACUUACAGAUUUUGCGUUUAAUAUCAUGUUAUUCCAUGUUGAGCAGCAUCAAUUGGAUGCUGGAUAUUAGGAGGUGGGGUUGCAAGAUUUGAUAUGAUUUCUUCUUUUCCUGGCUGAAUCACUCUGUUGUUAUGAGGUGAAAUGUGUGACUUGAGGCUCAAAUUACAUGUGUUUUGAGUUGUAGAUUGUCUGGGUUGCAGGGGGUGUGCGAUAAGCAACCAUGAGCAUGGAGAUCACCAACGUUACGGAGUAUCAGGCAAUCGCCAGGCAGAAGCUGCCUAAGAUGGUCUAUGACUACUAUGCCUCUGGUGCAGAGGAUGAGUGGAGUUUGAAGGAAAACAGGGAGGCAUUCUCGAGGAUUCUGUAAGCUUCUUCUGUUGAUUGUCUGUGUUCCCUUUCUGUUGAUGUUUACUUUUGUUGAUUUGAUUUCAAAAUCUGUGCUCUUCUUCUAAUGAUAAAUAUGAUCCAAACUGAUUCCUGUACCGUUGAAGCGAGCAACGCCAGUCUUUUAUAUUGAUGAUGUAGCUUAUCAUGACACCAUGUUGGAUCUUUCAGAAUCUGGCAUUUGUUUGACACUAUGUUGGAAAGAUCACUGUAUUGGUUGCCACAGGUUGUGUCAAUUGUCAAGAUUGUUAUAUCUUAAGCAAAUGAUUCAUUCAGUGCUUGAUGGUGAUGGAUAAUAAAACUUUUGGUCUUUAUUUUGCUAGGUAAGAUGGAUUCAAACUCAUAUUAAAAUACUUACAUGCAUCUUUUUUGUUUAUUUGUAUUUAGAAGGGAGGUUUUCGUGUUUCAUGCAGAUUUACCCUUCUGCCUGCAACUAAGACUUUAGAUUAUUUGAGAUUUACCUUUUCAUAAUGCAGUUAGCACAAGUACAUGUGAAUGAGAUUCUUUCAGAACCCUCAUGGCAAGUUCAGCAGUUCAUCUCGCCAGAGAAAAGUUUUUGCUUGACAUGAUUUAGAAUUAUUUUUUCAAGAUGUCUCAUUUUUUAAAGCAGAAGUCACAUGUCAAAUCUGUAGAAUGAGCAUGAUCAUUUCUGUAGGAAGGGAUUUGUAGAAAAUAUACAAUCUUGUGAGCUGCAGGAUUAAGAUUUUCUCCUCCUCUGCCUUGUAUUUAAUAUUUCAUAUCUUUCAGCUGGUUAAUAUGAUGCUAGUGUAAGCUAAAUAAUAUUUUCCCCCUCCUUUCGAUAUCUCUAUAUAUUUCAUCUUUUCUGAUAUACAGGAAAGAAGGGCGGUAUGAAGGAAUAUAUCAUUAAAGAAUUUCAUUAAGUACAUAGUUCUCAAAC